This is a long non-coding RNA of Mauremys reevesii (Reeves's turtle), 151 nucleotides long. RefSeq lists it as uncharacterized. Lineage: Eukaryota; Metazoa; Chordata; Testudines; Geoemydidae. The record is from RefSeq and is a predicted model, not a curated record. The transcript is spliced from 3 exons.
UCUGGGCCCUGUUCUGCCAGGCGCUGAAGAGACCCCAGGGUGCAGAAUAACAUCCACGUUUUGCCCCAAAUCAACCCCUCCUCCCAGCAGGAAGGAAAUGGCUGCAGUGGAGCUGGCUCAGGGGCCAGUGACCUUCGAGGAGGUGGCUGUG